GGUGAAAAGCACCCCGGAAGGGGAGUGAAAUAGAACCUGAAACCGUGUGCUUACAAGUAGUCAGAGCCCGUUAAUGGGUGAUGGCGUGCCUUUUGUAGAAUGAACCGGCGAGUUACGAUUUGAUGCAAGGUUAAGCAGUAAAUGUGGAGCCGUAGCGAAAGCGAGUCUGAAUAGGGCGUUUAGUAUUUGGUCGUAGACCCGAAACCAGGUGAUCUACCCUUGGUCAGGUUGAAGUUCAGGUAACACUGAAUGGAGGACCGAACCGACUUACGUUGAAAAGUGAGCGGAUGAACUGAGGGUAGCGGAGAAAUUCCAAUCGAACCUGGAGAUAGCUGGUUCUCUCCGAAAUAGCUUUAGGGCUAGCCUCAAGUGAUGAUUAUUGGAGGUAGAGC
Molecule: ribosomal RNA, 392 nt
Filed under: Staphylococcus aureus
Lineage: Bacteria; Bacillati; Bacillota; Bacilli; Caryophanales; Staphylococcaceae
Description: partial 23S ribosomal RNA
Rfam family: Bacterial large subunit ribosomal RNA
Source: RNAcentral